UACGGAAGGCAGCAGUGGGGAAUAUUGCACAAUGGGCGCAAGCCUGAUGCAGCCAUGCCGCGUGUAUGAAGAAGGCCUUAGGGUUGUAAAGUACUUUUCAUCGGGGAGGAAAAAAACAAAAACUAAUAAUUUUAUUUUCUUUGACGUUACCCGAAAAAGAAGCACCGGCUAACUCCGUGCCAGCAGCCGCGGUAAUACGGAGGGUGCUAGCGUUAAUCAGAAUUACUGGGCGUAAAGAGCACGUAGGUGGUUUUUUUAAGUUCAGAUGUGAAAUCCCUGGGCUUAACCUGGAACUGCAUUUUGAAACUGAAAUACUAGAGUAUCGUAGAGGGAGGUAGAAUUCUAGGUGUAGCGGUGAAAUGCGUAGAUAUCUGGAGGAAUACCUGUGGCGAAAGCGGCCUCCUAAACGAAUACUGACACUGAGGGUGCGAAAGCGU
RNAcentral lists this ribosomal RNA (437 nucleotides) under uncultured bacterium. RNAcentral describes it as "bacterial SSU rRNA". It matches the Rfam family "Bacterial small subunit ribosomal RNA", at positions 340 to 762 of the family's 1533-position model. The record is from RNAcentral.